GUUCUAUAGAGGCAACCGAAACGUUUGUAACACGUUGUUUUUUUCCUUUCAUAUUUCACAGUAAUACAAUGUAAAUUUAAACAGUAGCUAUAUAAUAUUACGUUAAAUUCUCGUUUUCGAUUUUUAUAUUUCGAUUGUUCACGAAUAUACCGGCUACACCUCUUAAAGGUUCGAAUCCGAAUAUUUUCAAAUGCCAAACAUAAUGAGUAUCAGAUCGCCGGUGCACGUGAGAUUUCAUAUACCUACCCGCACAUACUUUCAUCAAGAAAUAUCAAUACGGUUUUGUUGUUAUAAGAACGUAACUAUAACCGGCGAUUUGCGUUGGCGAUAUACCGUCAGUUAUAGACCGAUUAACUGUUUGCCCGACAGACAUUCCGUAUUAACACUUAAACACGAUCGUUUAGGCUAAUGUUUAUUGGUAUACAGUCUUGCCUAUACUUUUACGGCGCGAUUAACAAACUGCGAUCAGGUUGUCGACGUGUUGCCGCGGAAAAUAGAAUAUGGUAUCGACAGAGUGAACAGCAAACAAUAUUUAUAUAAUACCGCGUUACAAUAUUUCUGAAAAAAAAAAAGAAAAAUGUGUUAACCGACGAUAACGUACGUAUAAAUGUUUCAACUCGAGUAAUCUUAAGCCGACAGAUAUUGAACGGUUUGUUAAUUUAUAUUUAAUUCGAUUGUAUACUUUCUAUUUGUAAUAGAAAUUUUAUCUCCUACCACGGAUACCUAUUAUAAUAGAGUAGGUAUGGCCGUAUAGAUUGUAUGGUAUUAUCUUUGAAAAGUUGUCGCGUCCGGAAAAUAGCGGUUGAAAAUCAGCCAGCCGGCCGAACAGGAAAUCGAACCCGAGUCUCCCGGUCGCCGCGCGAUCGUUCCGUCAACUAAACUACCCGGGGUUUGAUAAGAAAUCGAUAAAUACACUGGACUUUCUUUACUAAACAUACGUCGUGCUGUACGGUUGAGAGAACAAAGCGGCGCUUGAUGCGGGACCGUGUUAAAGUCUAAAUCAAUGUUAUGUAUUUUAGAAACGACCAAUACCAUAUAGGGACUGUCCAGUCGAACAAAUCGCAAUUAAUAACAAUGACAAAUAUGCAUACUUAUUGAAAUAUUUGAAUGUGUGAGUGUAUUUUUUCUAAACUAAUGUCUAAUAUUAUAUAUUUGUUAUUUUGGUACCUCUCGUAAUAUUUAUACGAACAGAAUUAUUCAUCAAAUUUCAUUAAACUUAGAAAUGCAUACAAAUGUAUAGAUAAAAUUUAAAUUAUCCAAAUUUGGUGUCUCUAGGCCAUCUUAAAUCUCCACUCACGUGAUAAAUGUCAAUAACCUAUACAGUGUAACCAAUAUUCGAAACUCAUAACCUUGACAUUUUUUUGUUUUUUUAAACAGAACAUAGCUUUAAAAUGUAACAUUACCGUUACUUUUGUCACUUUUAUUUUAGAGGGGGGGAAUUCAUUAUCAACAAUUAAUUUUUAAAUUUAACUUGUAUUAAAAUGGAUGGAAUUUCAGUAAAAAUAAAUUUUGGUUUUUUUUUUUUACAUUUUUAAUUUCCGUUAAACUUGGUGAUGAGAUAUUUCACUUUUUUAGAUUUGAGUUGGUAAUUUUGAGUUGAGAAAGUAGUGGAACAUCAUUUAAAUGCAGGACGACGUAUAGAAUUUGAAUAAUACAAAAAAGAGGUAAUAUAAUAUUUUAGAACUGUGGCGUUUAUGAAAAUAAAUGUCUAAAAAACCCCCGGUAAAAACAACUGGACGCGCAAAUCUGGUAUAGGACACCAAAUUUGUAAAUACAAAGAAAAGUUUUAUGGCGUGAACUGUGAAAUUUCUAUUAAAAAAGUAUGUUCACUAAUUAUAAAUUAAAUGGGCUAUUUCUGUUGCAUUUUCUUUUUACCGUCUAUUGAUGUUUAUUAACCGUGAAAUCCCCUUCCUUCCAAUGGUGAUUCCUUAUUAAGUUAUACGUACUAUUUCAAAUACGUAAUUUAUAUGGGUAUUUUAGAUAGGUACCUAGUGCCUACCUACAGUAUAAUAAUAUUAUGUUAUCUUUUUAAACCUUGAGUCAUUUAUCCAAUGAUAGAUUACAAAUGGCAUAAAACAUCUGUAAUAUAUUAUGUUCGAUUUAAUUCGCUGAAAAAUUAAGACACAAUUUUGCGAUAAUAAAGUCCAAAGAUAAUAAUUCUAUUAAGGUAUAAUAUUUAUACGCUAAAAGUGUUUAUUCUUUCAAGAUGUCAAAUUUAAACACUUACGAAAACCUUUAAUAUAUUAUCGAAUAAAACCAAAAAAUGGAGAGGAGUUGUAUUUAUUGCUCGUUUCGGAAUCAAUUGGAGAAAAAAAAUAUAAUGUUAUUAUUGAGGGUGCGGUUCAAAAUUGUCGCUAUCAAUUAGACGAACUAAAGGAAAAACUCAAAAUACCGGGUCUUAUUAAAUCGUGUACGGAAAAGUUGAGCUCAAAAAAAUUCAUUGUAAACAAGUGUAACGGUCAUGAUAACGACGACUGUCAAGAUAUGUGCAAUUUUAUUCGAAAUAUUUACGGUAACACAAAUGUUACAAUAUUCUAGUUUCAUACAGAUUGCGAUAAAUUAUAUUAUGUACCUGUUUACUAAUUUAAUAUUUACCUAUAUAAAGUAUUUUUACUUUUUAACUAUGACAUUUACAGAACACGAUAAGGUAGUCGAAUUUGCAAUAAUCGGUCCUUAUUUCAAUACAAAAACAUUACGUAACAAGAUAAACAGAUUCUUUGACUUGUACAAUACGAAAAAAAAAAAAUGGCCGUAUAGCCGUUUACGUACCGGAAUAUUAUGUAUAUUUUUUCAAAGAAAUAAACACAAUCUAUGGCAAGAUAAUAGUGACGAGCACAAUUACCAGGUAUAUAGGUUGGGGACAACCAAAUACAGCAGCCCGCCCUCGGUAUCUGCAACCGCUGCGUAGUUUUGGGAAAAAAAGUAUGGUCGGAGUGAGUGAGCAAAAAUAGUCUGCUUCUGCUGGGCGAACCCGGAGAAGUAACAACCGACUCGGACACGAUCAAAAAGGCCUUUUGGGUGACGCUUAUGGCGUGUUUAUGCCCUCUGCAGUCUCCCACAGCGACGACUCCCACUCCGCCACGGUAACUACGUGGGCGGCUCUAUGCGAGCGACGCGCGUAAUUAAUAUUUUGAAUUCAUAUGUGUCCUAUUAAGGUGGCAAAACUAUUUAACAGAUGUUUGUAACGGAAUCGGUAAUCGUACUGUAAAACCUUGAUCGUUAUUUUGCAAGUAUUAAAUAUUCAAUGUAUUACAAAAUUGAUAACAAAAUUUAAGUAAAACUACAUCAUAUUUAAAUAACAGCAUAUUUUUUUUUUUAUAAAAUUAGUUUCAACUAUACUAUGAAAAUAGUAACGGUUCAUUUUUCUUAAUAGGAAGAAAAGCAACAAUCAACAACCUGAAAUUUUACUUAGAUCUAAAUAACUAUAUCGCUAUUAUUUUUGAAUCUAAGCAAAGAUAUGUGCAUUUAUAUUCAAUGCUUACUGUUACAGUAUUGUAAAGAACACAUUUAUUUUGUGUUUAGAA
Cinara cedri is the source of this 3524-nucleotide non-coding RNA. The record is from the annotation of a GenBank genome assembly. Lineage: Eukaryota; Metazoa; Arthropoda; Insecta; Hemiptera; Aphididae.